Molecule: long non-coding RNA, 668 nt
Organism: Trichomycterus rosablanca
Lineage: Eukaryota; Metazoa; Chordata; Actinopteri; Siluriformes; Trichomycteridae
Exons: 3
Source: RefSeq, a predicted model, not a curated record
CACGAAUUCACCCUGCUCGCUCACGAAUAAGUUGUGCUCGCGCACGAAAGUGCAUGCGCGCACUCGAAACGCAGCUCUCGCGCUCAAAUCGUAUGCGCGCACUCAAAGCAAACUGCGCUCGCGCUCAAAUAUUUCUUGCUCGCUCUCAUAACUGCACUUGCCCUCACGUUAAAACAGUCCCAAAAGUCGUCGACCAAUCAGAAUGUGUUUUCGGCUUCGACCAAUGAGUCACAACUUCCCCUGCAUUUUCACUGGUCGGAAAGAGUGAACCGUUGUGAAGACAAAUGGACAAUCAACGACCUCAGGUUUCUGAAUCAUCUGCGGUGUUCAAGAAAAAGCCACAUACAAUGACAGCUUUCCCCUGGUGCAUCUAUUGUAGCUGAGAUUCCCCCACCAGAAUCCAGCAAGGAAGCAAGUAGUGUUAGAACACCAAGCAGUAAGGCUAAUGCAGACUUUACCACCUAUGGUUAAGACAGCUGGUUCGCCCUCUCUUUGUCCAAAAACAUUAUUUCAAUGGCUCACAGGACAGGAACACAUCAGACCAGUUCGUCUGUGGAUAUUUGUGCUCAUUCAAUAAAUAAGUAAAACAAACUGUGUACUGUUAUUUAUUUACAUGUAAUGUAUAUGAGAACAGAGUCAGCACAAGUAUCUAUGAGAAUAGAGUCCAA